GCACCAAGGGCUAAGCUAUUGUGUGUUGUCUCUUCGUGUACAGGAGCCAGAGUAAAUGCCAAAGACAACAAGUGGCUCACUCCUCUGCACCGGGCCUUGGCUUCCUGCAGUGAGGAGGCUGUCCAGGUGUUAUUGAAACACUCUACUGACGUGAACGCCAGGGACAAGAACUGGCAAACGCCGCUCCACAUCGCUGCGGCCAAUAAGGCAGUCCGCUGUGCCGAGGCCCUGGUCCCUCUCCUCAGC
Long non-coding RNA from Coregonus clupeaformis (lake whitefish), 246 nucleotides. RefSeq lists it as uncharacterized. The transcript has 3 exons. NCBI's taxonomy places the organism in Eukaryota, Metazoa, Chordata, Actinopteri, Salmoniformes, Salmonidae. The record is from RefSeq and is a predicted model, not a curated record.